GCCAGGGUGGUGUAGUGGUUUGAGUGUUGGACUAUGACUUUGGAGACCAGGGUUAGAUUCCCAGCUUGGCC
Phrynosoma platyrhinos (Desert horned lizard) is the source of this 71-nucleotide non-coding RNA. The record is from the annotation of a GenBank genome assembly. NCBI's taxonomy places the organism in Eukaryota, Metazoa, Chordata, Lepidosauria, Squamata, Phrynosomatidae.